Non-coding RNA from Podarcis lilfordi (Lilford's wall lizard), 72 nucleotides. NCBI's taxonomy places the organism in Eukaryota, Metazoa, Chordata, Lepidosauria, Squamata, Lacertidae. The record is from the annotation of a GenBank genome assembly.
AGGGCUCUGGCUCAGUGAGAGAGCAUCUGCUUUGCAUGCAGAAGGUUCUGGGUCCAAUCCCUGGUAUCUCUG